CCCUUAUGAUUUGGGCUACACACGUGCUACGAUGGCGUAACCAAAGGGAAGCGAACCCGCGAGGGCGGGCAACUCUCAAAAAUAACGUACCAGUUCGGACUGCAGUCUGCAACUCGACUGCAUGAAGGUGGAAUCGCUAGUAAUCGCGGAUCAGCAUGCCGCGGUGAAUACGUUCCCGGGCCUUGUACACACCGCCCGUCACACCAUGGGAGUCAGUAACGCCCGAAGUCAGUGACCUAACCGCAAGGGAGGAGCUGCCGAAGGCGGGACCGAUGACUGGGGUGAAGUCGUAACAAGGUAGCCGUAUCGGAAGGUGCGGCUGGAUCACCUCCUUU
Molecule: ribosomal RNA, 335 nt
Filed under: Novacetimonas pomaceti
Lineage: Bacteria; Pseudomonadati; Pseudomonadota; Alphaproteobacteria; Acetobacterales; Acetobacteraceae
Description: bacterial SSU rRNA
Rfam family: Bacterial small subunit ribosomal RNA
Source: RNAcentral